This is a long non-coding RNA of Hyaena hyaena (striped hyena), 189 nucleotides long. RefSeq lists it as uncharacterized. NCBI's taxonomy places the organism in Eukaryota, Metazoa, Chordata, Mammalia, Carnivora, Hyaenidae. The record is from RefSeq and is a predicted model, not a curated record. The transcript has 3 exons.
AAAUGUUAUUAGGAAAAGAAUAGAAGCAGAGAGACAAGCUAGGAGGUCAUCUGCAGUAGUCUCCAAAAGAGGUAUGCCAAGUCUACCAGACAAGACUGUUACAAUAGAAGAGAGAAAGACUGAACUCACCUCCUCUGAAACAUAAGCUGCAUGUUGGAGGUCUCUUGCUAAAGGGUGGAAAGACCUGGA